RNAcentral lists this ribosomal RNA (496 nucleotides) under uncultured bacterium. Its description in RNAcentral is "partial 16S ribosomal RNA". It matches the Rfam family "Bacterial small subunit ribosomal RNA", at positions 28 to 506 of the family's 1533-position model. The record is from RNAcentral.
GAUGAACGCUGGCGGCGUGCCUAAUACAUGCAAGUCGAGCGAACGGACGAGAAGCUUGCUUCUCUGAUGUUAGCGGCGGACGGGUGAGUAACACGUGGAUAACCUACCUAUAAGACUGGGAUAACUUCGGGAAACCGUAGCUAAUACCGGAUAAUAUUUUGAACCGCAUGGUUCAAAAGUGAAAGACGGUCUUGCUGUCACUUAUAGAUGGAUCCGCGCUGCAUUAGCUAGUUGGUAAGGUAACGGCUUACCAAGGCAACGAUGCAUAGCCGACCUGAGAGGGUGAUCGGCCACACUGGAACUGAGACACGGUCCAGACUCCUACGGGAGGCAGCAGUAGGGAAUCUUCCGCAAUGGGCGAAAGCCUGACGGAGCAACGCCGCGUGAGUGAUGAAGGUCUUCGGAUCGUAAAACUCUGUUAUUAGGGAAGAACAUAUGUGUAGGUAACUGUGCACAUCUUGACGGUACCUAAGCAGAAAGCCACGGCUAACUACGU